GGCCACAGCCAUAUCACCCUGCAGCCCAAGACCGGUUACUCACUGAAACUAAGCAGGGCUGAGCCUGGUCAGUACCUGGAUGGGAGACCACUAGGGAACACUAGGUUGCUGUUGGAA
RNAcentral lists this ribosomal RNA (117 nucleotides) under Danio rerio (zebrafish). The record is from RNAcentral. Lineage: Eukaryota; Metazoa; Chordata; Actinopteri; Cypriniformes; Danionidae.